AUAUCAUAAGAUGCAGCGUGUUUCGGAGAAGGUUUUGAUAUAUGAUAUGUUGGUGAUUACUUAUCGCGUAAAAAAUAUAGACGGACAGAGUUCGCUAGUAAGUUAUUAAAAUAUUAAA
Long non-coding RNA from Melitaea cinxia (Glanville fritillary), 118 nucleotides. RefSeq lists it as uncharacterized. NCBI's taxonomy places the organism in Eukaryota, Metazoa, Arthropoda, Insecta, Lepidoptera, Nymphalidae. The record is from RefSeq and is a predicted model, not a curated record. The transcript is spliced from 3 exons.